CGUUUAGUAUUUGGUCGUAGACCCGAAACCAGGUGAUCUACCCUUGGUCAGGUUGAAGUUCAGGUAACACUGAAUGGAGGACCGAACCGACUUACGUUGAAAAGUGAGCGGAUGAACUGAGGGUAGCGGAGAAAUUCCAAUCGAACCUGGAGAUAGCUGGUUCUCUCCGAAAUAGCUUUAGGGCUAGCCUCAAGUGAUGAUUAUUGGAGGUAGAGCACUGUUUGGACGAGGGGCCCCUCUCGGGUUACCGAAUUCAGACAAACUCCGAAUGCCAAUUAAUUUAACUUGGGAGUCAGAACAUGGGUGAUAAGGUCCGUGUUCGAAAGGGAAACAGCCCAGACCACCAGCUAAGGUCCCAAAAUAUAUGUUAAGUGGAAAAGGAUGUGGCGUUGCCCAGACAACUAGGAUGUUGGCUUAGAAGCAGCCAUCAUUUAAAGAGUGCGUAAUAGCUCACUAGUCGAGUGACACUGCGCCGAAAAUGUACCGGGGCUAAACAUAUUACCGAAGCUGUGGAUUGUCCUUUGGACAAUG
RNAcentral lists this ribosomal RNA (531 nucleotides) under Staphylococcus aureus. RNAcentral describes it as "partial 23S ribosomal RNA". It matches the Rfam family "Bacterial large subunit ribosomal RNA", at positions 693 to 1227 of the family's 2925-position model. The record is from RNAcentral. Lineage: Bacteria; Bacillati; Bacillota; Bacilli; Caryophanales; Staphylococcaceae.